AGUAUAUGCAUAUGCAAAUAUAGAAGUGUGGAAAUUGAAUGACCACCUCUGAUGACAUCUUAAACAAUAACCUAAACAUCAGAGAAAGAACUUCUGGUGUGAUUCCUGCAUCUUCUUGCCACUUCUGUGGACUCCAACCAAUGGGAAUACCUCUCAGUUUACAAUGUAUUGAACUGCAACUGCCAUUUCACAUGUGCUGUCUGCCAAGUGGACUGAACUGAGAACAAUGAAGAUGGAAAUCACCCCAAAGAACAAUUUCUAAACUAGUCCACUUUCCCCUCUAUGAUAAGGAUGCUUAUGGGUAGCUCUCCACUGUUGAUGGCUUCCAGCAGGAAGAGAAGAAAUCAGUUCUGUGUAAUGUGCUGACUGAUACUCUGUUGACUGACUGAGCUGGCUUGGUCAGAUGGCACCUCAAUGUUGGAAUGCAAGUACAAAAGUGGUCAAUCAACUGGCUUUGUUGUUGCUGUUGUUGUUGUUGACAUCACCGUCCUUGUCGUCAUUGUUUCCUGUGCUGGCAGAGCCUCUGAGAGAACAGCAGUACCAAGUUCCUGUCUACAAGAACAUCUUGGCAUCAGCAAUAGUGUCAGAGUUUUCGGCAGAUGGGAAGGAUCCAAAGAGAGAACUUCCCCUUGCUUCCUGGCCCUGGUUGAUCCUACUCACUCGUGGUGAUUUGGUGGAGGCCUAGCAGUUUCUGCUAGAUCAUGCGACCACUUCUGAUUUGUGUUUGCUAUCCUGACAUUGUGGAACUGGACUGGUAUCCUGAAAAAGAGAUAUUGGAAUCACCCCAAAGAACCACUUCUAAACAA
This 806-nucleotide long non-coding RNA is filed under the name Mus musculus (house mouse). RNAcentral describes it as "predicted gene, 41654". Lineage: Eukaryota; Metazoa; Chordata; Mammalia; Rodentia; Muridae. The record is from RNAcentral.